RNAcentral lists this long non-coding RNA (422 nucleotides) under Vitis vinifera (wine grape). RNAcentral describes it as "long non-coding RNA (VVIN_LNC005763)". The record is from RNAcentral. Lineage: Eukaryota; Viridiplantae; Streptophyta; Magnoliopsida; Vitales; Vitaceae.
GACGUGGUAACACUUGUUGAUGAUGAAGAUCUGCAUGAUGUGAUGAGACAGCGCUUGAAGUUCUUGAGGAUUACCGUGCUGCUAAAUAUUGAAAAGGAUGGUAGGUCUCACACUCGGUCAAGUGGAAGUUCUACUCCCAUGAGAUCACCUUUUAACCUGCGCCCAUUUCAAGAUGGCAAUGCUGGUGUUGCUCCCAUGAGAUCACCUUUUGACCUGCGCCCAUUUCAAGAUGGCAAUGCUGGUGUUGCUCCCAUGAGACCACCUUUUGACCUGCGCCCAUUUCAAGAUGGCAAUGCUGGUGUUGCUGAAUUUAUUAAAUCAGUACCAGAGCCACUACUUGAAGCAUUUUCGAAACUAUCAACAGAUUUUACUUCUAAAGCUGCAUCCUCUGCUCCAGUGCUUUCUGAGGUUCUUACCUGCCU